This is a long non-coding RNA of Cornus florida, 652 nucleotides long. RefSeq lists it as uncharacterized. NCBI's taxonomy places the organism in Eukaryota, Viridiplantae, Streptophyta, Magnoliopsida, Cornales, Cornaceae. The record is from RefSeq and is a predicted model, not a curated record. The transcript has 3 exons.
CUGUAAUUAUAGUAAACCUCAAGGGGUGUCACUGUAAUUAACCCUUGAAAAUUUUAUCAUAUCCAAAUCAAAAAGUGUAUUUGACCAUUUUGACCAUCUAAACCAAAAAAUUUCUUGCAUGUACUAUUUUGACACGAAUAUUUCUACACAAUGACCCAUGAACCCGAAUUAACACUGACGAUUUGUUUAAAAAAAAAAAACUGACGAUUCAGUAAAUUUGCAGAUUUUCAACUCUGCAAACUUAACACAUUUCAGUGAGUCGAUCUCAGAAAAUUUCAGAACUUCAACGGACCCAGAACUCCUCCUUUCAUGUUUUGAACUAUCAAUUCAAGUCUUAAACCCUAACCCCAAGUUCUCUUCCUCCAUUUUUACUGAAGACGUGCGUGGAGGUCAUUUUACCAUUGUUUAUUGGGUCAGAUGUUGCCAAUACACAGAGAGGCAGAUCAUUUGGAGGAGGCUCUAGUGACUGCAAUUCCCCAACUCCAUUUUCCACGAUGAAAGCCAUGGCCAAGCCCCAGGAAGAAUGCGAUAUUUGAGAUAGCUGUUUCUGUAAAAUUUUCAGAUAUAUUUACCUGGAUUAUCAGCAACAAAUCUAAUGGCUGCCCAUCCUUUGACGGGUACACUAGCUGUAUUCCUCAUAGGUGGAUCAACA